GUUGUAAAAGACAUUCUUGUUCAGAUGGGAAUCUACUUCCAAGUACAGGAUGAUUAUUUGGAUUGCUUUGGUGAUCCCGAGACAAUUGGUAAGAUAGGAACAGAUAUAGAAGAUUUUAAGUGUUCAUGGUUGGUCGUGAAGGCUUUAGAACUUUGCAAUGAAGAACAAAAGAAAGUGUUAUAUGAGCACUAUGGGAAAGCUGACCCAGCCAGUGUAGCAAAGGUGAAGGUCCUUUAUAAUGAGCUGAAGCUUCAGGGGGUAUUUACGGAGUAUGAGAAUGAAAGCUAUAAGAAACUAGUAACCUCUAUUGAAGCUCAUCCUAGCAAGCCGG
This 331-nucleotide unclassified non-coding RNA is filed under the name Hevea brasiliensis (rubber tree). The record is from RNAcentral. Lineage: Eukaryota; Viridiplantae; Streptophyta; Magnoliopsida; Malpighiales; Euphorbiaceae.